GAUGAACGCUAGCUACAGGCUUAACACAUGCAAGUCGAGGGGCAGCACAGUGUAGCAAUACAUGGGUGGCGACCGGCGCACGGGUGCGUAACGCGUAUCCAACCUUCCCGUUACUCAGGGAUAGCCUUCCGAAAGGGAGAUUAAUACCUGAUGGUAUCAGAAUUUCGCAUGUUAUUCUGAUUAAAGAUUUAUCGGUAACGGAUGGGGAUGCGUGACAUUAGAUAGUAGGCGGGGUAACGGCCCACCUAGUCUACGAUGUCUAGGGGUUCUGAGAGGAAGGUCCCCCANACUGGAACUGAGACACGGUCCAGACUCCUACGGGAGGCAGCAGUGAGGAAUAUUGGUCAAUGGGCGCAAGCCUGAACCAGCCAAGUAGCGUGAAGGAGACUGCCCUAUGGGUUGUAAAACUUCUUUUUAUACGGGAACAAACCCCCGGUACGUGUACCGGAUUGCGUGUACCGUAUGAAUAAGCAUCGGCUAACUCCGUGCCAGCAG
Molecule: ribosomal RNA, 495 nt
Filed under: uncultured bacterium
Lineage: Bacteria
Description: bacterial SSU rRNA
Rfam family: Bacterial small subunit ribosomal RNA
Source: RNAcentral